UCCCUGGUAGCUCAGCGGGCAAAGCAUCUGCCUGCAAUGCAGGAGACCCUGCUUUGAUUCCUGGGUUGGGAA
Bos taurus (domestic cattle) is the source of this 72-nucleotide non-coding RNA. The record is from Rfam. NCBI's taxonomy places the organism in Eukaryota, Metazoa, Chordata, Mammalia, Artiodactyla, Bovidae.